Molecule: ribosomal RNA, 472 nt
Filed under: uncultured bacterium
Lineage: Bacteria
Description: partial 16S ribosomal RNA
Rfam family: Bacterial small subunit ribosomal RNA
Source: RNAcentral
AGUGAACGCUGGCGGUAGGCCUAACACAUGCAAGUCGAACGGCAGCACAGUAAGAGCUUGCUCUUACGGGUGGCGAGUGGCGGACGGGUGAGGAAUACAUCGGAAUCUACUUUUUCGUGGGGGAUAACGUAGGGAAACUUACGCUAAUACCGCAUACGACCUACGGGUGAAAGCAGGGGAUCUUCGGACCUUGCGCGAUUGGAUGGGCGGGUGUCGGAUUAGCUUGUUGGCGGGGUACGGGCCCACCGAGGCGACGAUGGGUAGCCGGCCUGAGAGGGUGGCCGGGCACAAUGGGACUGAGAUACGGGCCAGACUCCUACAGGAGGCAGCAGUGGGAAAUAUUGCACAAUGGGCGGGAGCCGGAUGCGGCAACGCCGGGUGCGGGAUGACGGCCUGCGGGUUGUGAACCGCUUUAGCCUGUGACGAAGCGUGAGUGACGGUAAUGGGUAAAGAAGCACCGGCUAACUACGUG